AUUGAACGCUGGCGGCAGGCCUAACACAUUCAAGUCGAGCGGUAGAGAGAAGCUUGCUUCUCUUGAGAGCGGCGGACGGGUGAGUAAUGCCUAGGAAUCUGCCUGGUAGUGGGGGAUAACGUUCGGAAACGGACGCUAAUACCGCAUACGUCCUACGGGAGAAAGCAGGGGACCUUCGGGCCUUGCGCUAUCAGAUGAGCCUAGGUCGGAUUAGCUAGUUGGUGGGGUAAUGGCUCACCAAGGCGACGAUCCGUAACUGGUCUGAGAGGAUGAUCAGUCACACUGGAACUGAGACACGGUCCAGACUCCUACGGGAGGCAGCAGUGGGGAAUAUUGGACAAUGGGCGAAAGCCUGAUCCAGCCAUGCCGCGUGUGUGAAGAAGGUCUUCGGAUUUUAAAGCACUUUAAGUUGGGAGGAAGGGCAGUAAAUUAAUACUUUGCUGUUUUGACGUUACCGACAGAAUAAGCACCGGCUAACUCUGUG
RNAcentral lists this ribosomal RNA (484 nucleotides) under uncultured bacterium. RNAcentral's name for it is "partial 16S ribosomal RNA". It matches the Rfam family "Bacterial small subunit ribosomal RNA", at positions 30 to 507 of the family's 1533-position model. The record is from RNAcentral.